AACGAACGCUGGCGGCAUGCCUAACACAUGCCAGUCGAACGAGACCUUCGGGUCUAGUGGCGCACGGGUGCGUAACGCGUGGGAACCUGCCCUUAGGUUCGGAAUAACUCCCCGAAAGGGGUGCUAAUACCGGAUAAUGUCUUCGGACCAAAGAUUUAUCGCCUUUGGAUGGGCCCGCGUUCGAUUAGCUAGUUGGUAGGGUAAAAGCCUACCAAGGCGACGAUCCAUAGCUGGUCUGAGAGGAUGAUCAGCCACACUGGGACUGAGACACGGCCCAGACUCCUACGGGAGGAAGCAGUGGGGAAUAUUGGACAAUGGGCGAAAGCCAGAUCCAGCAAUGCCGCGUGAGUGAUGAAGGCCUUAGGGUUGUAAAGCUCUUUUACCCGGGAUGAUAAUGACAGUACCGGGAGAAUAAGCUCCGGCUAACUCCGUG
This 433-nucleotide ribosomal RNA is filed under the name uncultured bacterium. RNAcentral's name for it is "partial 16S ribosomal RNA". It matches the Rfam family "Bacterial small subunit ribosomal RNA", at positions 29 to 507 of the family's 1533-position model. The record is from RNAcentral.